Molecule: ribosomal RNA, 468 nt
Filed under: uncultured bacterium
Lineage: Bacteria
Description: partial 16S ribosomal RNA
Rfam family: Bacterial small subunit ribosomal RNA
Source: RNAcentral
GACGAACGCUGGCGGCGUGCUUAACACAUGCAAGUCGAACGGAAAGGCCCUGCUUUUGUGGGGUGCUCGAGUGGCGAACGGGUGAGUAACACGUGAGUAACCUGCCCUUGACUUUGGGAUAACUUCAGGAAACUGGGGCUAAUACCGGAUAGGAGCUCCUGCUGCAUGGUGGGGGUUGGAAAGUUUCGGCGGUUGGGGAUGGACUCGCGGCUUAUCAGCUUGUUGGUGGGGUAGUGGCUUACCAAGGCUUUGACGGGUAGCCGGCCUGAGAGGAUGACCGGCCACAUUGGGACUGAGAUACGGCCCAGACUCCUACGGGAGGCAGCAGUGGGGAAUAUUGCACAAUGGGCGAAAGCCUGAUGCAGCAACGCCGCGUGCGGGAUGACGGCCUUCGGGUUGUAAACCGCUUUCGCCUGUGACGAAGCGUGAGUGACGGUAAUGGGUAAAGAAGCACCGGCUAACUACGUG